UACGUAGGAGGCAAGUGUUGUCCGGAGUUACUGGGCGUAAAGCGUGUGUAGGCGGUCGUGCAUGUCUGGUGUGAAAUCUCCUGGCUUACCUGGGAGGGGGCAGCGGAAACGGCACGACUUGAGGGCAGCAGAGGCCAGUAGAACUCCCGGUGGACCAGUGAAAUGGGUAGAGAUCGGGAAGAAUACCAGUGGUGCAGACGGCUGGCUGGGAUGUCCCUGACGCUGAGACACGAAAGCAUGGGGAGCAAACAGG
RNAcentral lists this ribosomal RNA (253 nucleotides) under uncultured bacterium. RNAcentral describes it as "partial 16S ribosomal RNA". It matches the Rfam family "Bacterial small subunit ribosomal RNA", at positions 524 to 776 of the family's 1533-position model. The record is from RNAcentral.